This is a long non-coding RNA of Sardina pilchardus (European sardine), 1066 nucleotides long. RefSeq lists it as uncharacterized. The record is from RefSeq and is a predicted model, not a curated record. NCBI's taxonomy places the organism in Eukaryota, Metazoa, Chordata, Actinopteri, Clupeiformes, Clupeidae. The transcript has 3 exons.
CAGAGGAACUAUCACCAGAGCAACCAUCACCAGAGGAACUUUCACCAGGGGAACCAUCGCCAGAGGAACCUUUACCAGAGGAACCAUCAUCAGAGGCAAACGAUAUAUAUAUGGACGAACCUGAGGAAACUGAGCCACCAGAAAUCAUCAACCAGCCAGUAGUGUCUCAGGAAAAACUUUUCCGGGAUCCUGACUGGGUCACAUGCUCCAGUUGCUCAGGAGUCGUUCGCACAGUCGUCAAGCACAACGUCACUGGCACCACCUGGAUUCUGUGCGUCACACUUUCUUCCAUUGGGUGUAUGUUUGGGUGCUGCCUCGUCCCAUUCUGUGUAAAAAAAUGGAAGGACGUCAGCCAUCACUGUCCCAACUGUAAGGCAAAGAUUCACAGCGUACCCAUGUUUUGAGAUGGGCUCUGGGACAAAGCUGGGCUGAGACGUGACUGUGGGGUCAAGGCGAUUGGAUGGCUGUUGGCGAUGGGAGUCGGUCCAGUGGUCUCUGAAAGUUUUCCUGAAACUAACUGAUCGAGGACAGUAAAUGCAAAUUGUCAGUGCCUGUGAUGACUCGACCUGUGAUCUGGAUAUACAGUAGGCUUCUUUGGAACACAGCAAUAACCAGAAUGCUUACGUGUACAUACUGAUUUAUGACAAGGAUGAUGUGUUUAUGACAAUGGCAAUUUCCUGUUGAGUUAUCACUUCUGUAUCUACAUGACCUUAGUCUAAGUCCAAUGAGAGUAUGCCAUUCAGUUAAACCCUUUGGAAUAACCUGUCCUUGACAUGUGCAUACCACUGAAACAAAUAACUAUCAAAUAAGGAAAAAGGGAAAUAUAUAAAAAUGCUUAAAAAUAGAAUUGCUUGCAUUAAUGUGCAAAGAUCAAUAAUUGCUAGUCUUCCCACUGUGAACUUCUAUAUAAAUUAGCAUGGAACUAAAACCUCUUCUUGUUUUGUGAACAUUUACUAUUACUUGGAUAAACUGUGAAAUAAAACAAUGACAUUAUUUUGAUGAAUGACCCUCUCUGAUGUGAUGUUAGUGUUUUGGCUUUUGAACUGUAAUUUUUUUUAAAAUAAAU